GAUGAAGAACGUAGCGAAAUGCGACAAGUAAUGUGAAUUGCAGAAUUCCGUGAAUCAUCGAAUCUUUGAACGCACAUUGCGCCCCCUGGUAUUCCGGGGGGCAUGCCUGUCCGAGCGUCAUUGCUGCCCUCAAGCACGGCUUGUGUGUUGGGCCCCCGUCCCCGGUUUCCCCCGGGGACGGGCCCGAAAGGCAGCGGCGGCACCGCGUCCGGUCCUCGAGCGUAUGGGGCUUUGUCACCCGCUCUGUAGGCCCGGCCGGCGCCAGCCGACACCCAACUUUAUUUCUAAGGUUGACCUCGGAUCAGGUAGGGAUACCCGCUGAACUUAAGCAUAUCAAUAAGCGGAGGA
Molecule: unclassified non-coding RNA, 348 nt
Filed under: soil metagenome
Description: partial contains 5.8S ribosomal RNA, internal transcribed spacer 2, and large subunit ribosomal RNA
Rfam family: 5.8S ribosomal RNA (bases 1-120)
Source: RNAcentral